ACGCUGGCGGCGUGCCUAAUACAUGCAAGUCGAACGAGUUCUGAUUAUUGAAAGGUGCUUGCAUCUUGAUUUAAUUUUGAACGAGUGGCGGACGGGUGAGUAACACGUGGGUAACCUGCCCUUAAGUGGGGGAUAACAUUUGGAAACAGAUGCUAAUACCGCAUAAAUCCAAGAACCGCAUGGUUCUUGGCUGAAAGAUGGCGUAAGCUAUCGCUUUUGGAUGGACCCGCGGCGUAUUAGCUAGUUGGUGAGGUAACGGCUCACCAAGGCAAUGAUACGUAGCCGAACUGAGAGGUUGAUCGGCCACAUUGGGACUGAGACACGGCCCAAACUCCUACGGGAGGCAGCAGUAGGGAAUCUUCCACAAUGGACGCAAGUCUGAUGGAGCAACGCCGCGUGAGUGAAGAAGGCUUUCGGGUCGUAAAACUCUGUUGUUGGAGAAGAAUGGUCGGCAGAGUAACUGUUGUCGGCGUGACGGUAUCCAACCAGAAAGCCACGGCUAACUACGUGCCAGCAGCCGCGGUAAUACGUAGGUGGCAAGCGUUAUCCGGAUUUAUUGGGCGUAAAGCGAGCGCAGGCGGUUUUUUAAGUCUGAUGUGAAAGCCCUCGGCUUAACCGAGGAAGUGCAUCGGAAACUGGGAAACUUGAGUGCAGAAGAGGACAGUGGAACUCCAUGUGUAGCGGUGAAAUGCGUAGAUAUAUGGAAGAACACCAGUGGCGAAGGCGGCUGUCUGGUCUGUAACUGACGCUGAGGCUCGAAAGCAUGGGUAGCGAACAGGAUUAGAUACCCUGGUAGUCCAUGCCGUAAACGAUGAAUGCUAGGUGUUGGAGGGUUUCCGCCCUUCAGUGCCGCAGCUAACGCAUUAAGCAUUCCGCCUGGGGAGUACGACCGCAAGGUUGAAACUCAAAGGAAUUGACGGGGGCCCGCACAAGCGGUGGAGCAUGUGGUUUAAUUCGAAGCAACGCGAAGAACCUUACCAGGUCUUGACAUCUUUUGAUCACCUGAGAGAUCAGGUUUCCCCUUCGGGGGCAAAAUGACAGGUGGUGCAUGGUUGUCGUCAGCUCGUGUCGUGAGAUGUUGGGUUAAGUCCCGCAACGAGCGCAACCCUUAUGACUAGUUGCCAGCAUUUAGUUGGGCACUCUAGUAAGACUGCCGGUGACAAACCGGAGGAAGGUGGGGAUGACGUCAAAUCAUCAUGCCCCUUAUGACCUGGGCUACACACGUGCUACAAUGGAUGGUACAACGAGUUGCGAGACCGCGAGGUCAAGCUAAUCUCUUAAAGCCAUUCUCAGUUCGGACUGUAGGCUGCAACUCGCCUACACGAAGUCGGAAUCGCUAGUAAUCGCGGAUCAGCACGCCGCGGUGAAUACGUUCCCGGGCCUUGUACACACCGCCCGUCACACCAUGAGAGUUUGUAACACCCGAAGCCGGUGGCGUAACCCUUUUAGGGAGCGAGCCGUCUAAGGUGGGACAAAUGAUUAGGGUGAAGUC
RNAcentral lists this ribosomal RNA (1492 nucleotides) under Lacticaseibacillus rhamnosus. Its description in RNAcentral is "bacterial SSU rRNA". It matches the Rfam family "Bacterial small subunit ribosomal RNA". Lineage: Bacteria; Bacillati; Bacillota; Bacilli; Lactobacillales; Lactobacillaceae. The record is from RNAcentral.